RNAcentral lists this ribosomal RNA (446 nucleotides) under uncultured bacterium. Its description in RNAcentral is "bacterial SSU rRNA". It matches the Rfam family "Bacterial small subunit ribosomal RNA", at positions 331 to 794 of the family's 1533-position model. The record is from RNAcentral.
CUAGACUCCUACGGGAGGCAGCAGUGGGGGAUAUUGCACAGUGGGGGAAACCCUGAUGCAGCGACGCCGCGUGAGUGAAGAAGUAAUUCGUUACGUAAAGCUCUAUCAGCAGGGAAGAAAAUGACGGUACCUGACUAAGAAGCCCCGGCUAACUACGUGCCAGCAGCCGUGGUAAUACGUAGGGGGCAAGCGUUAUCCGGAUUUACUGGGUGUAAAGGGAGCGUAGGCGGUAAUGCAAGUCAGAAGUGAAAGCCCGGGGCUCAACUCCGGGACUGCUUUUGAAACUGUGUUACUAGAUUGCAGGAGUGGUAAGUGGAAUUCCUAGUGUAGCGGUGAAAUGCGUAGAUAUUAGGAGGAACACCAGUGGCGAAGGCGGCUUACUGGACUGUAAAUGACGCUGAGGCUCGAAAGCGUGGGGAGCAAACAGGAUUAGAUACCCCUGUACC